AUGCAGCAAGAGGAUUUCCUGGGUUGCUUGGAAGCAUCGAGUGCAUGCAUUGGAAAUGGAAGAACUAUCCAUUUGCUUGGCAGUAGAUGUACAAAGGUGCCAAAGGCGGUUGCAUUGUGGUACUUGAGGCAGUGGCCACACAGGACAUUUGGAUUUGGCACUCCAUCUUUGGUAUUGCCAGGAACUCACAAUGACAUCAACGUGUUGCAGUGCUCCCAUGUCUUUGCCAAGCUUGUUGAAGGUCAUUCUCCUCCGGUGAAAUCUGAGGUCAAUGUGCGGCACUACAACAAGGGGUACUAUCUAGCUGAUGGCAUCUAUCCGAGAUGGUCUACAUUUGCGAAGACUAUCUCAAACCCUGUGCCAUGA
This 366-nucleotide ribosomal RNA is filed under the name Triticum aestivum (bread wheat). Its description in RNAcentral is "partial small subunit ribosomal RNA". Lineage: Eukaryota; Viridiplantae; Streptophyta; Magnoliopsida; Poales; Poaceae. The record is from RNAcentral.